CUUCCGGUGCUUUCAGGCGGGCGGAGAGGCGGCGUUCAGGCAGUGCGGCGGGCAGCCCCGCGCGUGCGCACACGGAAGGUCCGGGCGGACGCCGCGACCGCAGCGCGGAGUUCCGGGACGCGAAAGGAACGGACAGAAAUUGCGGACCCAGCGGUUUAUUGAGAGCGGCGCUGAGGGCUGAACUCACGGCCGCGUCUCUUAGAGCACGGAAACACGGUUUGUUGCCCAGAAAUGCAAAAGACACAGGGGCAAGAACAUUUGAGAGUGAGCCACUUCAUGAGGGCACCAACAGAGCCAAAUUAGAGACCCCAGAGUGAAGCAAUCAGAUGAAUGGACACACAAAAGCUACUGAGGAAGAGUGCAUGACCUGUUUUCCCUCGACUACGUUCUCACCACGCACGUGAAAUCAUAUAAAAGCUGAAGAAACCUCUUU
Long non-coding RNA from Tympanuchus pallidicinctus (lesser prairie-chicken), 433 nucleotides. RefSeq lists it as uncharacterized. Lineage: Eukaryota; Metazoa; Chordata; Aves; Galliformes; Phasianidae. The record is from RefSeq and is a predicted model, not a curated record. The transcript has 2 exons.